Molecule: long non-coding RNA, 524 nt
Organism: Raphanus sativus (radish)
Lineage: Eukaryota; Viridiplantae; Streptophyta; Magnoliopsida; Brassicales; Brassicaceae
Exons: 2
Source: RefSeq, a predicted model, not a curated record
GUUGCUUUUUUUUUUUUUUUUGUAAACCCAAAUUCAGAAGUUUGCUAUAUCCUCCUUUAUAUAUGUGUGUAAAUUUAUUCAAGUAGAAAUAUGGUUCCAGAAGGGUAGUAUUGUAAAUCCAAGCGAAGAACAUGGAAGUUUAUGAAAAAGAAACGACUUAUGUCUUCUUAUUGUUGUAUCUACUUCCUCGGAACGAAGCAAGAGACAAAGUGAGGAUACUGGAUUUGGCAAGGAAGAUGAAGAAGCAGCAGAAGCAGAGGUCCCUGAGAGAUGGCCUGAAAAGAAACCUUUAAAGAAUCCCAAUGUCAUAAAAGGGGUCAUGGCACACAGGGUUUAUUCAGGCAAAAGAAGAAUUUAAAAGAAAAGCAUGUAUUAGCAUAGAUAUGGAACUUGAAGCUCAUUUCGAUUAUAACAUUAAAGUUCAUAACAAUCGGAUUCAACGCAUAUUGACAAGGUUUCGUUUAGCUGUUCAUUUUUAAGUUUGUUGGAUACCUUGAAUUUAUUUAUCAAGUUCGACUUUCGAA